AUUGGAAGGGGAAAGACACACACCCCUGUCUACAUCAGUGGAGCUGAGGUGGAGCAGGUGAAUAGUUUUAGGUUCCUGAGAAUCAGCAUCACAGAGAACCUGUCAUGGUCAUCUCACAUCUCCACGCUGGUUAAGAAGUCUCAGAAACUGCUGUAUUUCUUAAGGAAAUUUAAGAAGGCAAAAUUUCCGUGCCAAGUUCUUAUAAACUUGUUUGUGUACAGAUUAAACAAAUGACAUAGAAGGUGUUAAUCAGUGAGCUUUAGAGGUGUUGAACUUGCUUCAAGUCUUUAUGUUAAGCUAAGCUAACUGGCCGCUGGCUGCAGCGUCAUACUUAUUGUUGAGAAUGGUAUCGAUCUUGUCAUCUAACUCUCAGAUAGAAAGCAAAAAAGUUUAUUUCUCAAAAACUAUUCAUAUAAGGCUGUUAUCAUAUCAGUUGAUAUUGUGAUUUAGUGGUGCUUAUUAAAACUUAUUAAAAUGAUCACAAACCAACUGAAACACAAAGAACCAGGUGUUAUUUUGCGUUUUCUGGAGGUCUGGUUUAUAAUCCAGCCUUGGGAUGAGCCCAUGACUGGUGAACUGAACUUGAUGAGUAAAAUCUGUAAAGUGCCUUUUUAAUGUGCCUCUUAUAAUGAACACUGAAUAGAACCAUGUACAAUCAUCUCUAGAAGUAGUGAAUGCUCAUAUCUAUAUAUAGACUCAAAAGACUCAAAAGUCUGUUUACUGUAUUGUACUGUACUGUACUGUUCCAGCUGUGCGUAUCUACUGGAACAGUGGGCAGGUUUGUGGUACAGAGAUUAGUGUUAUUGUCCUCCCACUCAAGAGCUAUAAAACUUCCAUGGCUUUGACAAACUACUCUAAUCUGACUAAAAUGAGCAACCAGUAAUAACAACAAUUUAAAGCUUGUGUAUAUUCUGUUUUUAGAUUCUGUUUAAUUAUGUUGGGUAGAAACCUGCAAGAUAAUGCAUCCUACAGGACACAUGAAUGGUAGUUUUCAUUGUACCCGCUAAUAAUGACAACAAGCCAAAGAAGUAAUUAAAGUUGGACAUGUAAUUAUGAAACAAUGUUUUCAUUUAAGUUUGGCGAAGACAAUGACGUUGCUGAAGAGGAACAGGUGUCUCUCCUUGGUCUUCGAGCCCUCAGUUACCUGAACACACUCGUCCAGCAGCAGGUCUCCGUUCUCACUGGUGAGGCCGAGGACGAAUGGACUCUGCUCCACAGAGACCCAGCAGGAAGCCUCCUCCCUGAGGGAAAGGACGCACACAAAAAAAAUGUUGGGUGGCCAACCCAUAGCCAUACCAGUCUAAUUUUGGUGUGAUAUUGGAACCCACCAAACAUCAGCAAUGAUACUGUGCAACAACUCAAAAGGCAGAAGUUACUGCAGUUGUGCUUUGGUGGCUGAUUCAUGAAGAACAGAUUCAUAAAGAGUGACCUUUAGAAACCCACCAUUUGUUUUGUAAAAUAAACAUAUUCACUGACUGUAAUCAAUAGUCUCCUACACUGUGAUCCUUCCCUAAAUGCCACAGAGCGAGUGGAAUCAUGUUUUCAACUGAAGACAAAUGACAGACCCGUGUGUAAAGGCAUCACCUACCCCGACGGAUCAAUGUCACGUCAACAACCUGAUUUGAUUCCAUCACGGAGGAACACACUAGUAUU
This is a long non-coding RNA of Siniperca chuatsi (mandarin fish), 1653 nucleotides long. RefSeq lists it as uncharacterized. The transcript has 3 exons. Lineage: Eukaryota; Metazoa; Chordata; Actinopteri; Centrarchiformes; Sinipercidae. The record is from RefSeq and is a predicted model, not a curated record.